CUACAAAUGCACAAAAAUGAUGCAAAAACAUGUUAAAACAACUAAAGUGAACGCACAUCCUUCUGUCUGUGAUACUUGGGAAUAUAACUAUGAAUAGGUAUGGGAUCCACUGUUGUACUUUUAUGUGCAAACGGAAGCAAACUCUAACAAAGUACCAAUAUCAACGUCGUAGGUGAAAACUAAAACAAUCUCAAACUAACACGAGAUUUACGUGGUUCGGCGUAAAGCCUACGUCCACGAGCGAAGCACGGCAAAGAAUUUCACUAAACAAACGGAGAUUACAAAAGAGUGUUUAAACUUUCACAACCCAAAUCCCACAAAUUACAAACCCUAAACCAAACGAGUAGAGAACUCAAACAAAUGGAGAAGAUUCUCAAAAAUUGCUCUCUAACUCACAAACUCACAAAUUGACUCUCACCAAAUUGCCACACGAAUGAGCCACACUAAAUACACUAACCCUAAGGUCCUAUUUAUAGUGCAUAGGACUUAGGUUACAAUAAGAAUCCUAAUAGGAAGUAAAUCCAAAUCCUAAUCAAAUAGGUGAUUAACAAAAUCUCUCCACCAAGGAAACCAACUAAGAAGUCAAAAUCCAAACCUAAACCCAAAUAGGACACCAAAACCAAAUAGGUAACACAAACCUAAUUCUUUGCAUCAUCCUAAUUUUGAGCCGUAAAAACCUAACAAUCUCCAUCUCGGCGAGAAAUUAGCAAACUUCCUAAUUUGGGAUAUCAAAAUACAAACACAAACGUGCACCAAAUUCUUUUGAAAUUGAUCUCCACCUAGAAUAAAAAAAAUCCAGAAAUCUUCAAACUUGAAAUUUCCUCCAACGCCUUCUCCAACAAAUUCCAUUACAGAAGCUAACAAAUAUGAAACAAAAUCCAAGCAAAAGCUUGAACAUAUGAACAAAAAGUGCGAAUUGCACUCCACCCAAAGAGCUUGAGUACCAAGCUCCAUCUCCUCACAUAACCUUUAGAGGAGUUCAGAACAAUGAUCUUCUGCAAUGUUUGCAUCAACACUAGCAAAAGACUUAUCAAACGGCUCCUUUUUGCCCUUGAGUUUAGGGCAAUCUACUUUCCAAUGACCUUCCUUAUAACAAUAGCUACAAGUGUUCUUUCCAAGUUUGCCCCUUUCCUUAUUUCUUCUUUGAACUACCAAAGCUCCAUUUUGUGUGUCAGACACUUUAUUCUUUAGCUCUUUAGAAUUCAAACCGACUUUAAAAUCUUUCAAACUAAGACUUUCUCUACCAAAUAGCAUGGUAUCGACAAAGUGUUCAUAUGAAGGAGAUAAAGAACACAACAAAGAUAUUGCAUAAUCCUCAUCACUAAUUUGGUUGUCCACACUUUUCAAAUCCAUCAUAAGUUUAUUGAAUUCAUCAACAUGCUUAUGAAUUGACGUACCUUCAUCCAUACGAAGAGUAUGCAAACUUUUCUUCAAAUACAACUGUUUAGCAAGGGAUUUGGUCAUAUACAAGCUCUCCAAUUUUAUCCACAACUCCGGUGCAAAUUUUAUGCUACCAACUUCACGCAAGACUCAUUUGAUAAAGUUAGCAAGAUUGCUCCAAGUGCCUGCUCCAUAACGUCUUCUUUUUCUUCAUCAGUCCACGAAUUCGGCAAAGCCUUCACACCCUUUAGCAUUUUCAAAAGCCCUUGUUGAACUAACAAAGCACGCAUCUUCAAUUGCCAAAUACCAAAGUCAUUGCCGUCGAACUUUUCAAUAUCAACUUUCACCGAUAACACAAAAGGCUUCAUAGUGACUGCCAAGCAAAGCCCAAGCCGAAACCUGGCUUUUAUACCACUGGUUGUACUUUUAUGUGCAAACGGAAGCAAACUCUAACAAAGUACCAAUAUCAACGUCGUAGGUGAAAACUAAAACAAUCUCAAACUAACACAAGAGAUUUACGUGGUUCGGCAUAAAACCUACAUCCACGAGCAAAGCACGGCAAGGAAUUUCACUAAACAAACGGAGAUUACAAAAGAGUGUUUAAACUCUCACAACCCAAAUCCCACAAAUUACAAACCCUAAAUCAAACAAGUAGAGAACUCAAACAAACGGAGAAGAUUCUCCCAAAUUGCUCUCUGACUCACAAACUCACAAAUUGACUCUCACCAAAUUGCCACACGAAAGAGCCACACUAAAUACACUAACCCUAAGGUCCUAUUUAUAGUGCAUAAGACUUAGGUUACAAUAAGAAUCCUAAUAAGAAGUAAAUCCAAAUCCUAAUCAAAUAGGCUAUUAACAAAAUCUCUCCACCAAGGAAACCAACUAAGAAGUCAAAAUCCAAACUCAAACCCAAAUAGGACACCAAAACCAAAUAG
Molecule: long non-coding RNA, 2315 nt
Filed under: Malus domestica (apple)
Lineage: Eukaryota; Viridiplantae; Streptophyta; Magnoliopsida; Rosales; Rosaceae
Description: long non-coding RNA (MDOM_LNC005327)
Source: RNAcentral